This 345-nucleotide ribosomal RNA is filed under the name Leveillea jungermannioides. RNAcentral describes it as "bacterial LSU rRNA". It matches the Rfam family "Bacterial large subunit ribosomal RNA", at positions 2099 to 2442 of the family's 2925-position model. The record is from RNAcentral. Lineage: Eukaryota; Rhodophyta; Florideophyceae; Ceramiales; Rhodomelaceae.
CUUUACUGUAUCCUGGAAUUGAAUUUGGGUUUACUUUGCGCAGUAUAGGUGGGAGGCUAAGAGUUUAUACUUGUGGGUAUAAAGGAGCCAUCAGUGAGAUACCACUCUAACUAAACUAGAAUUCUAAUCUUGAAGUCGUUAGCCGGCCAAGAGACAUUUUCAGGUGGGCAGUUUGACUGGGGCGGUCGCCUCCUAAAAGGUAACGGAGGCGUGCAAAGGUUUCCUCAGGCUGGUCGGAAAUCAGUCAUAGAGUAUAAAGGCAUAAGGAAGCUUGACUGCGAGACUUACAAGUCGAGCAGAGACGAAAGUCGGCCUUAGUGAUCCGGCAGUACUGAGUGGAAAGGC